This 380-nucleotide ribosomal RNA is filed under the name uncultured bacterium. RNAcentral's name for it is "partial 16S ribosomal RNA". It matches the Rfam family "Bacterial small subunit ribosomal RNA", at positions 338 to 734 of the family's 1533-position model. The record is from RNAcentral.
CCUACGGGAGGCAGCAGUGGGGAAUAUUGCGCAAUGGGCGCAACCCUGACGCAGCAACGCCGCGUGUUUGAAGAAGGCCUUCGGGUUGUAAAGAUCUUUAAUCGGGGACGAAUUUUGACGGUACCCGACGAAUAAGCUCCGGCUAACUACGUGCCAGCAGCCGCGGUAAUACGUAGGGAGCAAGCGUGAUGCGGAUUUACUGGGUGGAAAGGGCGUGUAGGCGGGCAGGCAAGCCAGAAGUGAAAUCUGGGGGCUUAACCCGCCAACUGCUUUUGGGACUGGGUGUCUUGAGUGAUGGAGAGGCAGGCGGAAUUCCAAGUGUAGCGGUGAAAUGCGUAGAUAUUGGGAGGAACACCAGUGGCGAAGGCGGCCUGCUGGAC